GACGAACGCUGGCGGCGUGCCUAACACAUGCAAGUCGAGCGGGGACUUGGGUGCUUGCACCUGGGUUCUAGCGGCGGGCGGGUGAGUAACGCGUGAGCAACCUGCCUCAAACUGGGGGAUAACGCAUCGAAAGAUGUGCUAAUACCGCGUAAGACCACGCUACCACAUAGUAGAGGGGUCAAAGGAGCAAUCCGGUUUGAGAUGGGCUCGCGUCCGAUUAGCUAGUUGGCGGGAUAACAGCCCACCAAGGCGACGAUCAGUAGCCGAUCUGAGAGGAUGACCGGCCACAUUGGAACUGAGACACGGUCCAA
RNAcentral lists this ribosomal RNA (311 nucleotides) under uncultured bacterium. RNAcentral's name for it is "bacterial SSU rRNA". It matches the Rfam family "Bacterial small subunit ribosomal RNA", at positions 28 to 334 of the family's 1533-position model. The record is from RNAcentral.